CUUUAUAACCUCUUCUUCCUUCUCCUUCACUUCUUCUUCCUCUUUCUCUCUUCCUCCCUGCAGUGGUUCGCCAUCAUCUUGGUAUCAGAGCCUCGGCUUUGCCUCUGUUGCCAAAGCCCCGAGAUCUUAUUUCUGGACGGACCACCCCGAUUUGUUCUCCACGUCUGCCGUUGCUGCCACUUGAAACCACCGCCGCCCCUGCUGCGCAGCCUCCUCUUCCACCAUCCACCUUCCCCUCUUCAUCUUCCACACAAACCUCCCGAUUUCAACAUGCUCCCUCUCCCUCUUU
RNAcentral lists this long non-coding RNA (289 nucleotides) under Phoenix dactylifera (date palm). RNAcentral describes it as "long non-coding RNA (PDAC_LNC002262)". Lineage: Eukaryota; Viridiplantae; Streptophyta; Magnoliopsida; Arecales; Arecaceae. The record is from RNAcentral.